Molecule: non-coding RNA, 75 nt
Organism: Actinoplanes sp. N902-109
Lineage: Bacteria; Bacillati; Actinomycetota; Actinomycetes; Micromonosporales; Micromonosporaceae
Rfam family: ASpks TB sRNA
Source: Rfam
CUUCACCGAGCCCAGCCACAGCGGGCGGCCCUCGGGGCGCUCCUGGCCGUACGUCGCGAUCAGGGCCUGCGCCUC